GGGGCAUUCGUCUAGCGGCCAAGGACACCGCCCUCUCAAGGCGGAGAUCAGGGGUUCGAAUCCCCUAUGCCCUACCA
RNAcentral lists this transfer RNA (77 nucleotides) under Chloroflexota bacterium. Its description in RNAcentral is "Chloroflexi bacterium tRNA-Glu". It matches the Rfam family "tRNA". Rfam says of the family: Transfer RNA (tRNA) molecules are approximately 80 nucleotides in length. Their secondary structure includes four short double-helical elements and three loops (D, anti-codon, and T loops). RNAcentral also lists the same sequence under 2 other names. Lineage: Bacteria; Bacillati; Chloroflexota. The record is from RNAcentral.